GUCUACGGCCAUGCUACCCUGAACAAGCCCGAUCCCAUCCGAUCUCAGAAGCUAAGCAGGGUUGGAUCUGGUUACUACUUGGAUGGGAGACCAUGUAGGAAGACCAGGUGCUGUAGGCA
This 119-nucleotide ribosomal RNA is filed under the name Pteropus alecto (black flying fox). The record is from RNAcentral. Lineage: Eukaryota; Metazoa; Chordata; Mammalia; Chiroptera; Pteropodidae.